CCUGGCACUCUCGGGGGAGCAGAAGAGGAAGAGGAGGGUGCAGCCUCAGUGUCUCCUUAAUGAUCAUCCUCAGGUAGUUCAUCUCGUUGAUGUCCUCCUCCCUCACCCUUCCCUUUCCUCCGACGGUCACCCUCACCUCCUGUUGCACCCUCUUCAUCGCACCUGGAUUUCUCAUCAGCUCCGACAUGAUCCACUCCAGUGUUGUUGCUGUUGUCUCGCCGCCCGCCCCAAAUAGAUCCUUCACGUUGCCAUUCCAAAAGAGAACCAGGAAUUAAAACAAUCUGAUGUCGUUGUCCUGUGAGAUUAGGGUUAGGAAGCUUACCAAGAUUAUAGCUUUGACGGCCACGUCUGUGAACGCGAAUGGCAGGCUGCCUUCACGUUGGACUUUGAGUAAGACAUCGACCAAGUCCUCCUCCACUUGCUCGGUGGAGUUCCUCUCUCUGUGCUCCUGAAUGAUGCUGCUCAGGAUAGCAUCCAUCUCGCGGUGUAACCUUGGCAGCUUGAGAGACAUGCCAC
RNAcentral lists this long non-coding RNA (516 nucleotides) under Musa acuminata (dwarf banana). Its description in RNAcentral is "long non-coding RNA (MACU_LNC011663)". Lineage: Eukaryota; Viridiplantae; Streptophyta; Magnoliopsida; Zingiberales; Musaceae. The record is from RNAcentral.